GGGCCGGCUUGGGGCUUGGUUCUAUGUCCCUGCGGGUCGGUGCGAGGGCGAAGAGGAACCCGUGGGCCUCGGGGGAUCCCGGGGGGCCGGACCAGUGUCCCCUAGUUGUGGGAGCAGACGCGUGGGCGCAUCGCGGGCGGGCAGGGCCUGAAGUGCAGCUAUGUUUCCAGUGUCCUCUGGGUGUUUCCAAGAGCAACAGGAAACGAAUAAAUCUCUGCUUAUCCAAAUGUUCCGUUGGUCCCUGUUCAUCCCGCCCUGCAGUUCUCCUUGACUGAUUCAGCCCUUUGUGGUUUGCAGUCCUGUUUCUCUACAGCUUGGACCCCUUCAGUCUUUC
RNAcentral lists this long non-coding RNA (334 nucleotides) under Homo sapiens (human). RNAcentral describes it as "HSALNT0404758". Lineage: Eukaryota; Metazoa; Chordata; Mammalia; Primates; Hominidae. The record is from RNAcentral.